Long non-coding RNA from Physeter macrocephalus (sperm whale), 1571 nucleotides. RefSeq lists it as uncharacterized. The record is from RefSeq and is a predicted model, not a curated record. NCBI's taxonomy places the organism in Eukaryota, Metazoa, Chordata, Mammalia, Artiodactyla, Physeteridae. The transcript has 3 exons.
AGAUCUGCCAUUUAAAGGCUGCCUUGCACUUUUCUGCCUACAGAGACCUUGGUCACUUUGAUGUAGUCGUCUUCCUUUAGGUUGAACAGAUAAGCCUUGGUGAGGACAAUUCGGCUGCUAUUUACUCUAAUUUAUUAGAUACCUUUCUGCCUCAAGCUCACACAAUUCUUCCCAGGAAUCCCCCAUGAACGUGCAGGAAGCAGAAGGUGAAACCCUGCAUUGCCGUGUUCUCAGGCCUGCCUCCCCCUGUGUCCCGGGUGUACAGUGACAGUGGCAGUGCUGCCCCCGCAAGACGACAUCUCAGGAACGUGGUCCUGGAGGACAGCGCUUGUCUGGGAAGGCCAUCCACGGAGCAUUUCCCUGCAGAAGAUUUAGGAAAGACAGAGACGCAUGUGAGUGUCUUGCUUCCAACAAAUUCCCAGAUGGAGUCUUCCCUUGACACAUACUUUUAGUUACUGUGUUUGCACGUACACUUUCAGGUAUGCAUGGCCGUCAUAUGUCUCUAUUUUAUUUGCAACAACUGGGAGGUGAGACUUCAUCUUUGACAUGUGUCCCUGGUGUGUAAGACACUGCACUGUUAUGUGCAUUCAAGAAAUACUUUCUCACUAAUAUCCCUCCCCAUUUGUAGUAUACGGAAAGAGCAGUGUGAGAAAAUGAGUCCUUUGUCCCUGGAUCAGUCAGAAGUCAAUCAGGAAACAGAAACCUUUCUAGGUUUUUCAGUUAGAGUUGCUAGAGGGACUGAGGUUUCCAGCUGGGUGAGUAAAGAUCAGAAGUUUGCUUUGGGCACACCUGGGAGGGCAGGGCAGGGUCUCAAGGGAAACGGGCUGCCCGUGGCGGGUGUUCCCCACGGUCUGAGCCACUGUCUGCAGCUGGUACCAAGGAACACUGGCUUCACCUUCUUUACUGUCUUGGACCUCACAUGGGGGCGCCUCUCACUGGCCAGUUCUAACCUGGAGCCAUGUGGGGAAAGAACUUCUGGGGAAGGAGGUUCCUGGUUUUCCUGUGAGACACAGAGAAGAAUGAGGUAGGAGGUAGAUGGGCCCCUGGGCUGGGCAGCUGGUUGUCAAGUGGAGUAAAUUGGAGCUUGUUUUCCCUGACACUCCAAGGACAAAGUUAAUGGCAAGAGCAGAGGGGAGCUGAGCUCUGCUGGAGUAAAAAGAUAAGAUGACCCCAUCGUUCCUUCUUGAGGUCAAGGAGACCUCCCCAACUACACAUGCGCAAAAAGCCUCCUGGGGGGUCAAAAAGGGAGGGGGCACUAACCCAUAAUAAGUUCUGUCAAUCUCCCAGAGACCCCCUCGCUGGAAUACAUCUUGGCUAAAAGAUGUGCGUGCCUAUCGGGAGGGCCCUGGGUCAGGUCAGGUGUGGGAAACGAAGAAAGAUGACUGGCCAGAGGCAAACAAAGACCGGGAAAAACUGCCCCCAUAUGAGUGAUUUAACUCACCUCUCUGGCACAUUCCUCAUUAGGGAGACCAUCCACACUGUUCUCUGGGUGUGUAUUUCUGCUUUGCCUCUGCUCUAAAUAAUCUGCUUCUUUGUUCUCUUUGCACAUACUGUGCUUCCAAUAAAUUCUG